GAUGAACGCUGGCGGCGUGCCUAAUACAUGCAAGUCGAGCGAACAGACGAGGAGCUUGCUCCUCUGACGUUAGCGGCGGACGGGUGAGUAACACGUGGAUAACCUACCUAUAAGACUGGGAUAACUUCGGGAAACCGGAGCUAAUACCGGAUAAUAUAUUGAACCGCAUGGUUCAAUAGUGAAAGACGGUUUUGCUGUCACUUAUAGAUGGAUCCGCGCCGCAUUAGCUAGUUGGUAAGGUAACGGCUUACCAAGGCAACGAUGCGUAGCCGACCUGAGAGGGUGAACGGCCACACUGGAACUGAGAAACGGUCCAGACUCCUACGGGAGGCAGGAGUAGGGAAUCUUCCGCAAUGGGGGAAAGCCUGAAGGAGCAACGCCGAGUGAGUGAUGAAGGUCUUCGGAUCGUAAAACUCUGUUAUUAGGGAAGAACAAAUGUGUAAGUAAAUAUGCACGUCUUGACGGUACCUAAUCAGAAAGCCACGGCUAACUACGUG
RNAcentral lists this ribosomal RNA (497 nucleotides) under uncultured bacterium. RNAcentral describes it as "partial 16S ribosomal RNA". It matches the Rfam family "Bacterial small subunit ribosomal RNA", at positions 28 to 507 of the family's 1533-position model. The record is from RNAcentral.